UUGACUUAAGUUUACACUUGCUACUCUUUGAGUGGGUUGACAAAUGAUAAGUGAACUACACUGAAACAAAAAGCAAAUUAAGUCAGCCUAGCAAGUGUAAUUGUCAGUUCAUGUCGACAGUCAAGGACUCAGGUGUCACAUUACCUCAUGGAGAGCUGUGAAUUUAGUGAGAGCAGCAGUCAGGGAGGCUGGUGCUGUGGGAAAUCUUUGGAUGAGAGGUUAACAAAUUGCUCCUCAUGUGUCCUUCAUUCUGAAGGUAGUCUGCUACUUAUCCUAUCCUUGGUCCUGCCCCCAUCAACCAUUUUGGAGACGGUCCAGUACUUGAUUUGAACUUUGCUUCCUACCUGGCCUUAAUUCUCCUGCAAUAUCUCUUGUUUGUCUUUGGACAUUGGACAUUAUCAAAUGAGGUCUUUUUAGGCCAAUCAGUCUUAAGCACUUGUUCAGGUCCUAUAACAGCAUGGUGUAUGAUCUGCUUACCUGAACUUCAUCGAGAUUGAUCCCAUUGCCCUCCAGGAGAGCUAAAAACCUGCUGUGAUUCUCAUCAGUUGCUGAUAAUGUGUGCCUCAUGUUGAUACAGACUGGAAAUGAAGAAGAUAUAUGGAAGUGUAGAUGUCACAGAUAUAGAAGUUGAAGCCAUGAGAUUUCAAAACAGGCUUAUAAACACAUUGACAUAUUGUCUUCUUACUCAAAUGGAAAACUUCCUUUAUCAUAUUAUGUGGUCGAACAACAAGAAUAUAGGGAGGAAAAGUCUGAUUUAGGAAGCAACGCUAAAGCUGUAAUUAUAUCUGCGCAUAAUUUGGAACUUCAAUCUUGGAAAUUCUCUCUCUUCUGAAUCUGUGUAGGAAGUCCUGAGCAUUGGGGACGCCUUCAAUUGAAUGAUAAGGAAUUGGAGAAUCUGUUUGAGCAACUACAUUUCUACUGUGGGACUGCACUACUUCACACUACUGCAGAUGCAGUGCAGAUUGUAAAUACUGAUAAUGUCAGCAAUUUGUCCGAAACUUCCCAUAUUCAGGCACAAGUCAUUCAGCAGCUGAAGUGGCAUCUCCAACAUGGAAGCUGGGAUGGCUAUAUGAUCCUUUCCAAUUUUUGAUGAAGAAAGAAUAUUGGUUCUUAUGUUAAUAAGAAAAUGAAAGCAUUUGAAAGCAAGGGUAACAUGUAACGGAAGUGUUCAUCAAUAAUAUGUUAGAUUCUUGCCUGGCCAGCAUUUCAUUUUCUACUACUCAUCAAAAUCAUACCUUUGGACCUCGCACUUCUUGACUUGUUUCAAGAGAUCCAGCCCCGGUCACUGUGUUCACCACUAUCUCUUCAACUGCUAUGUACUCAUCAUAAUGUUCCAUCUCCUGCUUACAGCGAAACAAUAAGGAAGGUUAGAGGUGAUCGUGAUACUAAGAACCGUGUCAACACCUUACGAAACUGCAAUGCCCUUCAUUUUACAGAUGCAGGAUGAGGUGUGUCAACGUGAGAUCCUUGCAAUGAUCUGUAGUCAUGAUAUGCAUGAAACAAAGAUACAGAGAAGUCUGUCUUAGGUUGAUGCUACAAUGUUGAAGAGAAUUGCAGAAAGAAAACUAGAGUUCAGAAGUAUAAUUGAGU
Diospyros lotus (date-plum) is the source of this 1590-nucleotide long non-coding RNA. RefSeq lists it as uncharacterized. The transcript has 5 exons. NCBI's taxonomy places the organism in Eukaryota, Viridiplantae, Streptophyta, Magnoliopsida, Ericales, Ebenaceae. The record is from RefSeq and is a predicted model, not a curated record.